GAUGAACGCUGGCGGCGUGCCUAAUACAUGCAAGUCGAGCGAACAGAUGAGGAGCUUGCUCCUCUGACGUUAGCGGCGGACGGGUGAGUAACACGUGGAUAACCUACCUAUAAGACUGGGAUAACUUCGGGAAACCGGAGCUAAUACCGGAUAAUAUAUUGAACCGCAUGGUUCAAUAGUGAAAGACGGUUUUGCUGUCACUUAUAGAUGGAUCCGCGCCGCAUUAGCUAGUUGGUAAGGUAACGGCUUACCAAGGCAACGAUGCGUAGCCGACCUGAGAGGGUGAUCGGCCACACUGGAGCUGAGACACGGUCCAGACUCCUACGGGAGGCAGCAGUAGGGAAUCUGCCGCAGUGGGCGAAAGCCUGACGGAGCAACGCCGCGUGAGUGAUGAAGGUCUUCGGAUCGUAAAACUCUGUUAUUAGGGAAGAACAAAUGUGUGAGUAACUAUGCACGUCUUGACGGUACCUAAUGAGAAAGCCCCGGCUAACUACGUG
This 497-nucleotide ribosomal RNA is filed under the name uncultured bacterium. RNAcentral describes it as "partial 16S ribosomal RNA". It matches the Rfam family "Bacterial small subunit ribosomal RNA", at positions 28 to 507 of the family's 1533-position model. The record is from RNAcentral.